UACCCGGCGCCACGACGCGCUGAUGUCACGACGGCGUGCGGCGUGCAGACGUCGGCAAGCUGCGCCGCGCCUUCGGGGUGCUUCCGGAUCUGGUACUUGGGCAGAGUUGCUCGGCGUUCAUUGUCGUCCCUUCACAGGGUCUGUUUGAGUCCUGUCCACGGGACCCUACGGGGGUACCUUCGAAAAAAACGGGCUAUGCUGCUGUUGCUUGUCGGUACCCUUUCCUGACGCCUCCGCCGCUGGGGUCAUGUGGACCCUUGUGGGUCGGGGCUGGGGGUGCGCACGCGCCCUCGCGCCACGAGCCACUGGGGCCGCGCUUGUGGGGGGCCCGGGGCCCCGGCCCGCGCCGACCUUUGGGGCUGCUCCAGAGUCCUGGGCUACCGACAGGCUCUACAGCUCCGCAGAAUUCAAGGAAAAACUUGACAUGUCUAGGUUUCCUGUUGAAAAUAUUAGAAAUUUCAGUAUCAUUGCACACGUGGAUCAUGGCAAAAGUACUUUAGCUGACAGGCUCCUAGAACUUACAGGGACAAUUGAUAAAACAAAGAAUAAUAAGCAGGUGCUUGAUAAAUUGCAAGUGGAACGAGAAAGAGGAAUCACUGUUAAAGCACAGACAGCAUCUCUCUUUUACAAUUGUGAAGGAAAGCAGUACCUUUUAAAUCUCAUUGAUACACCGGGCCAUGUUGAUUUUAGUUAUGAAGUAUCCAGGUCACUUUCUGCUUGCCAGGGUGUUUUACUUGUGGUUGAUGCAAAUGAGGGUAUUCAAGCCCAAACUGUAGCAAACUUCUUUCUUGCCUUCGAAGCACAGCUGUCGGUAAUUCCAGUCAUAAAUAAGAUAGAUCUGAAGAAUGCUGAUCCUGAAAGGGUUGAAAACCAAAUUGAGAAAGUGUUUGAUAUUCCAAGUGAUGAAUGUAUUAAGAUUUCUGCGAAACUUGGAACAAAUGUUGAGAGGGUUCUUCAGGCAGUUAUUGAAAGAAUCCCCCCUCCUAAAGUGCAUCGCAAAAAUCCCCUGAGAGCUUUGGUAUUUGAUUCCACCUUUGACCAGUAUAGAGGUGUGAUAGCCAAUGUAGCAUUAUUUGACGGAGUGGUUUCCAAAGGAGAUAAAAUUGUAUCUGCACAUACUCAAAAGACAUACGAAGUUAAUGAAGUAGGAGUUUUGAAUCCUAAUGAGCAGCCAACUCAUAAAUUAUAUGCAGGACAGGUGGGCUAUCUGAUUGCUGGGAUGAAAGAUGUCACUGAAGCGCAAAUAGGAGAUACAUUAUAUUUACAUAAGCAACCAGUGGAGCCCUUGCCUGGGUUUAAAUCAGCGAAACCAAUGGUAUUUGCAGGAAUGUAUCCUCUAGACCAAUCUGAAUAUAACAAUCUGAAGAGUGCUAUAGAAAAACUGACUUUAAAUGAUUCCAGUGUGACAGUUCAUCGGGAUAGUAGCCUUGCUCUGGGUGCUGGCUGGAGGCUAGGAUUUCUUGGACUUUUGCACAUGGAAGUUUUCAACCAGCGACUGGAGCAAGAAUAUAAUGCUUCUGUUAUUUUAACAACCCCUACUGUUCCAUAUAAAGCUGUACUGUCAUCAUCAAAAUUGAUAAAGGAACAUAGAGAAAAAGAAAUUACAAUUAUCAAUCCUGCACAAUUCCCCGAUAAAUCAAAAGUAACAGAAUAUUUGGAGCCAGUUGUUUUGGGCACUAUUAUCACACCAGAUGAAUACACUGGAAAAAUAAUGAUGCUUUGCGAGGCUCGAAGAGCAGUUCAGAAGAAUAUGAUAUUUAUUGAUCAAAAUAGAGUUAUGCUUAAAUAUCUCUUUCCUUUGAAUGAAAUUGUGGUAGAUUUUUAUGACUCUUUGAAAUCCCUGUCUUCUGGAUAUGCUAGUUUUGAUUACGAAGAUGCAGGCUACCAGACUGCAGAACUUGUGAAAAUGGAUAUUCUGCUGAAUGGAAAUACUGUAGAGGAGCUAGUAACUGUUGUACACAAGUGUAUUUUUCUGUCUCAGAGACAAAGCGCAUUCAAUUGGCAAAGCCAUAUGUGAACGGCUGAGGGAUUCUCUUCCCAGGCAACUGUUUGAGAUAGCAAUUCAAGCUGCUAUUGGAAGUAAAAUCAUUGCAAGAGAAACUGUGAAAGCCUAUAGGAAAAAUGUUUUGGCAAAAUGUUAUGGUGGUGAUAUUACCCGAAAAAUGAAGCUUUUGAAGAGACAAGCAGAAGGGAAAAAAAAGCUGAGGAAAAUUGGCAACGUUGAAGUUCCAAAAGAUGCUUUUAUAAAAGUUCUGAAAACAGUCUUCUAAAUAAUUGGUGGGAAAACAAAGAAUUUUCAUAAAUUAAAAACUAUCUUUUUUUCAUUGCAAAUUGUAAUACGCUGACAACAGAAAGAAAAUUAUAAAAUUUGCUUGUUACUUUCAGGGUCUUCAGGUUCAAAUAACCUACUAGCCUUUUGUUGAAAGGGAGUAAUGAGUGAGUAGGCAAGAGCUUAGAUUUUGAAGCCAUGUUGCCUGUUCUCAAAUAUCUGUUCCAACCGCUCACUAGUAAGGUGACCUUGGCCAAAUUAACCUUUGUUUCCUCUUCAGUAAAAUGGAGAUUAUACUACUACCUAUAUAAGUUGUUGUGAAGAUGAAAUGAGGUAAUAUGUUAAAUAUUCAGAGGUGCACGACACAUAGUAAGCACUCAAUUGUAACUACAGUUAAGUCCUUAAAUGCCAUCGAAAGGUUCUUAGAAACUGACUUUAAGCAAAAUGACACAUAGCACAAUGUCCUUGAAUGAUGCCAUUUCCUUAAGUGGUUUGUAACCUUGAUGAGGAAAAAAAAUUGGUUUAUGCGUCAUUUCAUUUUAUUUAUUUUUUGAGACGGAGUCUUGCCCUGUUGCCCAGGCUGGAGUGCAAUGGCGCAAUCUCUACUCACUGCAACCUCCGCCUCCCAGGUUCAAGAGAUUCUCCUGCCUCCAUUACAGGCGCGCGCCACCAUGCUCGGCUAAUUUUUUGUAUCUUUAGUAGAGACGGGGUUUCACCAUGUUGGCCAGGCUAGUCUUGAACUCCUGACCUCGUGAUCCACCUGCCGUGGCCUCCCAAAGUGCUGAGAUUAUAGGCGUGAGCCACCAUGCUCAGCCAUGUCAUUUCAUUUAAAGUCACAAUUUCCAUGAAUCUCAACAAGUGAGGACCUGCUAUAUUUUGUUGCAUGCAGUUUUUCUUUACUGACACUAAAAGGCCCCAUACUUAAGAUUCCAUCUACUUUAAGUUAAAGGAUUUUCAGAAUCACCUUAAGUGUCAAAUUUGUUAGCAGGAUUAAUUUAUCUGAUAUGAAUUCAUUUAUUAAACAGUAAACUCAAAUAACAUACUAUCUAGACAUCUGCUCUAGUUCAUGAUAAAAUGUUUAUAGAUUUUAUCAGGUGGUUAAGUUUGAAACUAAAUGGUUUACAUGUAAAUUAAGGGCAGGAGCUGUCUUUCAGACAUUCAGAACGCAUUUGUGUAAAAUGACAGGUGUUUGGUAUUACCAGGAACUCAUAAUGACAUUUUAAUAAUUAUUGUCUAAAUUUCAUAAUCGAAGCGAUUUUAGAGUAGUUAACUUGAGAUUUCACAACCAGUUAUUUCUCCAAAGCUCUCAGCUCCCAUGUUUAUUCAGCCAACGAACAAACCAGACUGCAGACUAUAUUACAGCAAGAUAACAUCAUUUAGCCAUUGAUUUUUAUCUUCAACCUUGAAUGAAUUGAAUGAGGAAAAUGUCUUUUAGGGAUAAACACUAUCAAGGAUGAAUUUUAUACUAAGGUUAUAUGAAAGAAAAAGAAUCUAUCUCAAAACCACUAAGCCAAAGGGAAGUCAAACUGGGAACUGAUUGAGGCAAACCUGCCUCCCAUUUUAUUCCUAAAUAAGACAGCCACGAAGAUAAAAUUUGCCCACAAGGAAAUUCCUUAUGGACAAAGACAGAACUCAAAGUCUUCCUUCUGCUCACAUGACACAAAUGCAUAAAUGAUUGCUUUCUCUGCUUCAUGUUUCACUAAGCCAGAUUAAGGUAUAACUGACUAUUCCUCUACCCUCCUCUCACAUGUAAAUUGUAUAUUCAGUGAAAGGCUAAUCAGAAACUCAAAAGAAUGCAACCCUUUCUCUCUUACCUGCCUAUGCUUGAAGCCCCCGCCCCUCUUCGAGUUGUCCUGCCUUUCAAGACCAAUGUACACCUUACACAUACUGAUUGAUGUCUCAUGUCUCUAAAAUGUGUAAAACCAAGCUGUGCCCCAACCACCUUGGGCACAUGUGGUGAGGACCUCCUGAGUCUGUGUCACGGGCACAUCCUUAACCCUGGGAAAAUAAACUUCCUAAACUGACCUGAGAGCUGUCUCAGAUAUUUUGAGCUCACAGUUAUUGUGAAGUCAUUUUAAUUAUAAAUUAAGUGGAGAUUUACUUAAAAUCAUGUGUAGAAGUAGCCUGUGAUGUAUCCUAGAUACAUAUAUUAUCAUCUUAUGUAUCUUCCCUCCCCCUUCCAGGUUCUGAUAAAACAGAUGAAAUCUGAAAGACCAUGAUAGUAGUAUUUUGAAAAUGACAGUAUUUGAAAUUAAAAAAUUGUAAAAGUGUUCUGUUCUAUCACUGCCAAAGGAUAAGUUACAAAUUGGUUCUUGGAACGUAAUGUGUACUAUGUGCUUGCUAUUUAAUAAUUUACUAAUAUUAGUCUUUUUUAUUCAGACUAAUUUUAUCUUUUUUUAACCUAUGACUCUUUAGUUAUAGUAGUACAAAAAAGUAGUUUUAGUUGUAGUACAAAAAAGCAUUUUCUGUAAGCUUAAUUUCUUUCCCCUUCCCACUUUCCCAGUGAGAUGACUUUAGUGAUUUGGAGUUGUGUGCUUUAUAAGUGUAUUCCUCAGAGGACUUAAUAUUACUAAGAUUUUAGCAAACAUUGAAGUAUGUUUAAACACUGUUACCAGUAUUAAAAUAGCACCGUUCAUUGAAUUUAGUAUGACAACCACUGUGCUGAGCUAUGUAUGCUUCCCUCAUUCAAUCUAUGUAAAAAUUUUGGGGAAGAAGCUGAGACUUUUUUAUUUCCCAAAGUCACCAUUGUUGACAGAGCUGGGAUUUAAUGGUUGGUUUCUUCAAAAAGCUAAGUUCUUUGUCUAACAGCAGCUUAGCUCCUGAGUUUAGGGAAUGAAAGCAGGAAUGAAAAUGGCCAGAGUUUUCACUCCUCAGCUUGUGGAGGAGCUUGAGUACAUGAACCUCAGUUAAGCCCCUAACACCAAGGGCAGGAAAAUGGAAAGGAGAAUUUUUAGACCUUUAAAGCACAGAAAUAACUGGUGAAUCAUGUACCACAACAGGUACCUUUAGCUUUUUCACUGUGAUGCUGUAUGACUUUCUAAGGUAGUCAGCAUAGUUUGUAGUAAGUGAUUCUUAUUACUGGAAGUGUAAGUGGAAUGUUACUCACUAGUUAUUUAAAAAACAUAUAUAAGGCUAUUAAAACAUCUGGAAUUACAAUAAAGCAAGAUAAUUUACCCCAUCCCCCACUUUUAACCAUAGAACCCUAUUACCAAUUUUAUUUCAUUAAUUUAUUUGCUAUUUUAAUAUUUUAAGAACCUACAUUUUGAUCACAUAGACAAGCAGAUAAGUAAGGCUUCUUCUACCAGGUGGGCUUAUGAAAU
Molecule: RNA transcript, 5589 nt
Organism: Nomascus leucogenys (northern white-cheeked gibbon)
Lineage: Eukaryota; Metazoa; Chordata; Mammalia; Primates; Hylobatidae
Gene: GUF1
Gene name: GUF1 homolog, GTPase
Exons: 17
Source: RefSeq, a predicted model, not a curated record